Molecule: ribosomal RNA, 484 nt
Filed under: uncultured bacterium
Lineage: Bacteria
Description: partial 16S ribosomal RNA
Rfam family: Bacterial small subunit ribosomal RNA
Source: RNAcentral
AUUGAACGCUGGCGGCAGGCCUAACACAUGCAAGUCGAGCGGAUGAAGGGAGCUUGCUCCUGGAUUCAGCGGCGGACGGGUGAGUAAUGCCUAGGAAUCUGCCUGGUAGUGGGGGAUAACGUCCGGAAACGGGCGCUAAUACCGCAUACGUCCUGAGGGAGAAAGUGGGGGAUCUUCGGACCUCACGCUAUCAGAUGAGCCUAGGUCGGAUUGGCUAGUUGGUGGGGUAAAGGCCUACCAAGGCGACGAUCCGUAACUGGUCUGAGAGGAUGAUCAGUCACACUGGAACUGAGACACGGUCCAGACUCCUACGGGAGGCAGCAGUGGGGAAUAUUGGACAAUGGGCAAAAGCCUGAUCCAGCCAUGCCGCGUGUGUGAAGAAGGUCUUCGGAUUGUAAAGCACUUUAAGUUGGGAGGAAGGGCAGUAAGUUAAUACCUUGCUGUUUUGACGUUACCAACAGAAUAAGCACCGGCUAACUUCGUG